GCUUUCGUGGUGUAAUGGUAGCACACUCGGCGCGUAUUCGAGAGGUCCAGGUUCGAGUCCCGGCGACGGCA
Molecule: transfer RNA, 71 nt
Filed under: Stegodyphus mimosarum
Lineage: Eukaryota; Metazoa; Arthropoda; Arachnida; Araneae; Eresidae
Rfam family: tRNA
About the family: Transfer RNA (tRNA) molecules are approximately 80 nucleotides in length. Their secondary structure includes four short double-helical elements and three loops (D, anti-codon, and T loops).
Source: Rfam by way of RNAcentral